This 253-nucleotide ribosomal RNA is filed under the name uncultured bacterium. RNAcentral's name for it is "partial 16S ribosomal RNA". It matches the Rfam family "Bacterial small subunit ribosomal RNA", at positions 524 to 776 of the family's 1533-position model. The record is from RNAcentral.
UACGAAGGGUGCAAGCGUUACUCGGAAUUACUGGGCGUAAAGCGUGCGUAGGUGGUUUGUUAAGUCUGUUGUGAAAGCCCCGGGCUCAACCUGGGAAUGGCAAUGGAUACUGGCAAGCUAGAGUGCGGUAGAGGGUAGUGGAAUUCCCGGUGUAGCGGUGAAAUGCGUAGAGAUCGGGAGGAACAUCAGUGGCGAAGGCGGCCAUCUGGGACAACACUGACGCUGAGGCACGAAAGCGUGGGGAGCAAACAGG